GUGCCUAAGGUAUGCAAGUCGAACGAUUCCUGUAUCUUCGGAUACAGGGAGUGGCAAACGGCUGAGUAACGCGUAGGAACCUACCCCAAACUCGAGUAUAGCCCCGCGAAAGCGGGGGUAAUCCUCGAUAGCCCGUGAAGUAUUUUACUUCACGGUAAAGCUUUUGCGGUUUGGGAUGGGCCUGCGUCCUAUCAGGUAGUUGGUGAGGUAAAUGCUCACCAAGCCUAUGACGGGUAGCUGGUCUGAGAGGAUGGUCAGCCAGACUGGGACUGCGACACGGCCCAGACUCCUACGGGAGGCAGCAACUAGGAAUUGUGCGCAAUGGACGAAAGUCUGACGCCGCGACAUCGCGUGGAGGAUGAAGGUCUUCGGAUUGUAAACUCCUUUUCUUACCGAACAAGUUCUGAGUGUAGGUAAGGAAUAAGUGCCUGCUAACCACGUGCCAGAAGCAUCGGUAAUACGUGGGGCACGAGCGUUAUCCGGAUUUACUGGGCGUAAAGAGAAGCGUAGGCGGCUCGAUAAGUUUGGUGUUAAAUCUUCCGGCUCAACCGGAAACAAGCACCGAAAACUAUCGAGAUUGAGUCGAGUAGGGAAGAGGGGAAUUCCCGGUGGGAGCGGUUAAAUGCGUAGAUAUCAGGAGGAAUACCAAGGGCGAAGGCACCUCUUUGGACUCGUACUGACGCUGAGGCUCGAAAGCGUGGGUAGCAAAACGGAUUAGAUACCCGUGUAGUCCACGCCGUAAACGAUCCCUGUUAGAUGU
Molecule: ribosomal RNA, 760 nt
Filed under: uncultured organism
Description: bacterial SSU rRNA
Rfam family: Bacterial small subunit ribosomal RNA
Source: RNAcentral